RNAcentral lists this ribosomal RNA (413 nucleotides) under uncultured bacterium. RNAcentral's name for it is "bacterial SSU rRNA". It matches the Rfam family "Bacterial small subunit ribosomal RNA", at positions 505 to 916 of the family's 1533-position model. The record is from RNAcentral.
GUGCCAGCCGCCGCGGUAAUACGUAGGUGGCAAGCGUUGUCCGGAUUUAUUGGGCGUAAAGCGAGCGCAGGCGGUUCUUUAAGUCUGAUGUGAAAGCCCCCGGCUCAACCGGGGAGGGUCAUUGGAAACUGGAGAACUUGAGUGCAGAAGAGGAGAGUGGAAUUCCACGUGUAGCGGUGAAAUGCGUAGAUAUGUGGAGGAACACCAGUGGCGAAGGCGACUCUCUGGUCUGUAACUGACGCUGAGGCUCGAAAGCGUGGGGAGCAAACAGGAUUAGAUACCCUGGUAGUCCACGCCGUAAACGAUGAGUGCUAAGUGUUGGAGGGUUUCCGCCCUUCAGUGCUGCAGCUAACGCAUUAAGCACUCCGCCUGGGGAGUACGGCCGCAAGGCUGAAACUCAAAUGAAUUGACGG